GUGCGCACUUUGGCAGCACAUAUGCUAAAAUUGGAACAAUGCAGAGGAGAUUAGCAUGGCCCCUGCGCAAGGAUGACACACAAAUUCAUGAAGUGUUCCGUGUUUUU
Macaca fascicularis (crab-eating macaque) is the source of this 107-nucleotide small nuclear RNA. Lineage: Eukaryota; Metazoa; Chordata; Mammalia; Primates; Cercopithecidae. The record is from Ensembl.